CCCCUUAAAACCCUAGCAUCAAAGGUUCACCUUCAUAGAAAAAAAAUUCAAUUAAUUUUCAAAGUAAAAUAAAAUUAUAUAUGAAGUAGAUGUAAACAAUUGAAUCUAGUACAAAAAAGUUCCAUAUGAGGAACUUAGAAGCUUAUGAGUCGUUAACAAAAAUAGGAAAAAGAAAAUAAUUAGCUGCAAAAAAAUCUAGAGACUAGAUCUCAAGUUUCAGAUCAGAUCCAUGACAAGAUUUUGAUGACGAUGGAAGAGAACUGUGUAUAUAAAUAUAUACGGACAUUGAGAUCUAGAAGGUAUCUAUAAGGUAGUACCUUCUCCAAAUAGAUAAAAAGGAAAAAAGAAAAA
RNAcentral lists this long non-coding RNA (351 nucleotides) under Medicago truncatula (barrel medic). RNAcentral's name for it is "lncRNA gene37367". Lineage: Eukaryota; Viridiplantae; Streptophyta; Magnoliopsida; Fabales; Fabaceae. The record is from RNAcentral.